CCCCAUCCUGUGAGGGGAGGGCGAGGGUUGGCCCCAGGGAGCAAGAAAAAUCAAGAAACCUGUUUGUAUCUUUCUGUCAAUGCUCUUUACCCCGUCUUCGCCUCCACUUGCUGUGUUGUAGGUCCCCCUCCCCUGGCCUCAGUUUCCCCGGCCAUUCAAUAGGAGGAACCCCUGGAUUUCUUUGGGGGCGGAGAAGGGGCGUUGCUUCCAAAGGAGACCCUCUUCUCACCGCACCCCUCCCGGGCGGCGGCGAUCGCCGGGAGGGCCCUCGCAGGCCAGUGGCCGGGCGGCGGCCCGGCGGUGUCACUGUCAGUCAGGGGAGGAGGCAAGGUCGCAGUCUGAGGCCCCCGCCUGGCCUCGGGCGGCGCUGCCGCGGCCUCGCCAACCGCCGGACCCCGCCCGGUGAGCCGCGCACCCGGGCGCAGCGGUGCCCACACUGGAGGCCGGGCGGCGGCGGGGGCGGCUCCAUGCGGUACACGUGUGGCGACGCGAUCGCGGGCCAGGUGAGCCGGCGCCAUGGGGCAGGCGGGCUGCAAGGGGCUCUACCAGUCGCUCUUCGACUACAAGACCGAGAAGUACGUCAUCGCCAAGAAUAAGAAGGUGGGCCUGCUCUACCGGCUGCUGCAGGUCUCCAUCCUGACCUACCUGGUGGUCUGGGUGUUCCUGGUGAAGAAGUGUUACCAAGACACGGACACAUCCCUGCAGAGCAGCAUCAUCACCAAAGUCAAGGGUGUGACCUUCACCAACACCUCAGAGCUUGGGGAGCGGCUCUGGGAUGUUGCCGACUAUGUCAUCCCACCCCAGGGAGAGAAUGUCUUCUUUGUAAUCACCAACCUGGUCGUGACCCCCAACCAGCGGCAGGAAACCUGUGCCGAGAGUGAAAGCAUUCCGGAUGCCUUGUGCUAUGAGGACAGCGACUGCCCUCCUGGGGAGCCUGUUGUGGCUGGAAAUGGAGUGAGGACUGGCCGCUGCCUGCGGGCGGGGAGCGAGCAAAAGGGCACCUGUGAGAUCUUCGCCUGGUGCCCGGUGGAGACAAAGUCCAGGCCAGCGAAGCCACUCCUGGGCGAAGCUGAAGACUUCACUGUUUACAUAAAGAACUUCGUUCGUUUCCCCAAAUUCAACUUCUCCAAGACAAAUGUGCUGGACACCACAGACAGAGCUUUCCUGAAGUCCUGUAAAUUUGGCCCCAAGGACCCCUACUGCCCCAUCUUCCGACUUGGGUCUGUGGUCAGCUGGACGGGGAGCAGCUUCCAGGAGAUAGCUGUGCAGGGUGGUGUGAUAGGAAUUCAGAUUGAAUGGGACUGUGAUCUUGAUAGAGCUCCCUCUGAAUGUUACCCUCGCUAUUAUUUUAACCGUCUGGACAACAGAUUUUCAGAAAACUCUCUUUCUUCUGGGUACAACUUCAGGUUUGCCAAGUAUUACCGAGACGCAGCUGGCGUGGAGCUCCGCACGCUGUUUAAAGCCUACGGGAUCCGCUUUGAUGUGAUGGUGAACGGCAAGGCAGGGAAGUUCAACAUCAUCCCCACAGUCAUCAACGUGGGCUCAGGGGUGGCGCUCAUGGGUGUGGUGAGUACCUCUCCCCCACCCUCUUUACCCUCCAAGCACCCGCAGGGGCGGGCAGCAGGGACACUGCCCCACAGGAGUUGUCCCAGUGCUCCAGAAAGAACCAGAACUGGGGAGGUCAGUGCGGAUGGGGGUGAAGAGGGCUCUCUGGGACUUCACACCCCUCCAGCAGCCCCCAGGUGGCCGUGACUACCUGGGUUUCUCUUUCCAGAGCCAGAGAGGCUUCUGCCUGUGGCUCUGCAGCUGGGGGGGGGGGGGUUCUCUGGGAUCCUGCGCAGCCUUGUCUCCACUUCUGCUAAAAAGAGGCAGGAUCCGGCUAUACACAGGGCUUCUCAGCCGCGGCCCUGUUGACACGUAGGGCCAGAUCACUUUUUUUGUGGGGUGACUGUGUGCAUUGUAGAGUGUCUGACAGCAUCCUCGGCCUCUACCCACCAGACGCCAGCGGCACCUUCCCCCACAGUUGUGACGGCCAAUAAUGUCUCCAGACGUCGCCAAACUGCCCCCCGGUUGUGAAUCACGGGGCUAGAAAGAUGAGAGGCAGGGCAGUCGGGCUGUAGUCCAGGUCUGUCCCUUCAGUUGGGCAGAGGGGCCACCGGAGAGGAAGUAGCAGCUGGAGGGCAGGGAAAGGCUUCCUCUGGAUCUUUCAUGCCCCUUUGUUUUUCUGGAAGUUUUUUAAAGACAAGGCAGUCAUCAGAGUGGCUCACACCCGUACCAGCAAGCCACUUGCCAAGGUUUCUGGCAGCCUUGUCCCUGGUUCCUCUGCCCAGGAGGUCACAGCAGCCCCAUGGGGGCUUCCAGGAGGACCUAGGACUGACUUCUUAUUGAGACCAGGAACACCAUGUCCUGUAGCAGGACUCAAAGAGGCCAUGCUCCUGAGAGGUGGUCAGUGGAUGAAAGUGGGCCCCAAGGGCCUCCUCUUAACUGCUGCAACAUCGUUGGGGAGCCCUGCACGUUUAACAUAGGUAACUUCCCGAGACAGGGGCCACCUUCAGACAUCACUUUAUGAUGGGGGUAAAUCAGAACACAGGCAUCUGGGGACACACUUGUGAAAUGAAGUGGGUGGAGUCGCCCUCUGGUGGAGGAGACUGGUAUUUGCGCCAUCCACUCUGGUCUGAAGAGCUUGUGUUCAGGUGUCAGUGGGUCGGUCCGCUGGGUUGGCUCAGCCCUCCUCAUCUUUCCUUGACCGCUGCUGUGGUGUCCUUGUUGUUCAGAUACCCUCCAGUCCCUCUCUCACUGCCUACUAGAGGGAUUCCCGCAAUGCCACAUUUCUGUUCCUGGCCCUGUUCCCAGGCAUGACGAGCCUGUUCCUCUGCAGUGCCCUUCCUGAGCGAUUUUUCCUUUUUCCUUAUAUAAAAUCCUAUUCAGCCUCAAGACUCAGCCCAGAUGUUCCUCCCCAGGCUGAGUAGCGUCCCAUCUUCUCUCUGCUGCCCCUGCUCCUGUCCCCAUCCUGGGACAUUGUCACUGUCAUAAUUUAUAUGCCCGCCUCCUGCACCAGAGGGGGAGUCCCCAGAGGGUCUCACUGGCUUACUCUUGGCCGCACCCCAGGGCAGUGCUUAGCAGACCCUGGCUGAAGGCGUGAUCCGAUGGGAUCAGGGUAGUGCGGGGUGCUCACCCUGAGGGGUCAGACAGACCACAGGCUAACUCGGGCUCUACCAUGGAGCAGCUCUGUGGCCCUGGACAAAGAUGCCUCUUUCUGAGCGCAGCCCCCCUCAGGGGUUGCUGCAGGAUCAAAUGGGAUGUAGUUGGUGUCAAGUGGCCGGGUGCUCUCUGGAAGUCUAGGAUCCUGAGUCAGGGACCCCCAACUCUUUUGCAGGGGUCUUUCUUCUGCGACUUGGUACUCAUCUACUUCAUCAAAAAGAGCCACUUUUACCGAGACAAGAAAUAUGAGGAAGCGAGGUCAGUUAUGCUUCCUCCCAGCGGCCCUAGGGGAGCCCACUAGGUCAGCCUUUCCCCCUCCCGGGCUCAGAACUCUUACCCUGGUUUUAUGUCGGCGUUUGGCGGGUAGAGGCAGGGCUGAAUACGGGGAGCUCCCUUGGAAGGGCUGGGUAAGGCGGAAUGUUCUGAGUACCCGCUCUACAAAACUGGAUUCUACUUCAGAGCAGCUGGCAGAAGACAAGACCACCCAGGCCAUGGGCAGGAGACCUCGUUUCCAGGCCUGGCCCUGCCACUGUCUCCCCAGGUGACUUUGGACCAGUCCCAGGCCGCCUUGGGCCUUAGUUUCUCUCUCUGUGAGAUGAGAGUGUUGGUUUACAUACAGUGCCUUCCAGCACCUACAAUUUUAGGAUUCUUGGACUUGGUGGUCCUGGUGAGCUGGGGUUUAGGGAAGCUGGAGUGGUAAGGGAAGGAAAAAAAGAAAACGGAUUCCCCCCCCUCACUCUGGGGGCCUGGGGGGGGGGGGAGAGAGAGAGAGAGAGAGUGUGUGUUCAGAGGAGCUUGUGUGUGUGUGUGUUCAGAGGAGCUUGUGUGUGUGUGUGUUCAGAGGAGCUGGUUGUAUGUGUGUGUGUGUGUGUGUGUUCGUGUGUUCAGAGGAGCUGGGAUGGGAAAUGCACUGGGCGCUGCUCCCUCACUCCCACCCCAACCUGGGACGGGGCGGAGGACCAGCCUGCAUCAUCUGCCUGGACUGAACCCCAGCCCUGGUUCUCGGGCUGAGCCCUGAGCCCUCACUGUACCUGCCACCCCUGCUGAGCUGCUGGGGGAAGAGGGGCGCCCCCUGCAGGGCGAGUGGCUCACCUGUCCCAGGGAGGAGGUGGGACCCACAGGCCAGGGUUAAUGGGUCAUGUCCUGCCCAGGGACCUAGAGGUCCUCGCCCGAAUGGCAGAGUCCUCGCAGCAGAGCAUGGCCCCGGACGCGGCGGGGCUGGCGGAGCAGCCAGAGGUGCAGGAUGGAGGUCGCGCCCAGGAGAAUGGCUGUGUGUGCCGGCAGCUCCUCCAGCCUGCCAGGUGAGGGGCUGCCCAGCCAAGGGCCAGGAACGAGGCCCGCAGAGACAGCCCAGCUGGCUACUGUGCUCCCUGCUCUGGGUGACCUGGCCCCAAGGCAGCAUGCCAGGGACCCAGCAGAGCCCAUCCAAGCUGGACUCUGGGGGGGAGGGGUGCUGGUGGUGCUUUAGCCCCUCCACGAUGCCCGUUACCCUCCAGUACCCCUGAGCGACCACAAACCUGUCUGCUUGCUAUGCUGUGCCCACGUUAAGACAGUACUAUCAUUUACUCAGGCUUACUCUGCUGGGCACUGCUCUGAGUUCUUUGUACAUGUGAACUCUUUUCAGCAACCUAAUGAGGUGGACAUUAAUAUUUCCUGUUCUAAUGAGGAAACCAAGGCUCAGAGAGGUCAAGUAACUUGCUCAAGUCACACAGCUAAUAAAUGGCAGAGCUGGGAUUUGAACCUGGGCAGUGGGUUCCUAGAAUCCAGUUCUCCAUCAGGUUGUUUUGCCUUACCGGCCCUUCAUCCCUCCACACCUCAUCAGAUGCCUCCCCCGAAGCUCCUCUUUGAUGUGGAAAUUCUGGAGCUGCCCAAGCCUGAGGACAGUGGUGGCUGUGCUGACAGGUGACCUGCAGGCUGCCCUUCCCUGAGCACUGCCCAGAAGCCCCGGGCAGCCUGGCGCUUUCUGUAGACCUGACCACAGCCUGGCGUGGGAGGGAGCCCUCAGGCCUGCUCUGCUUCCCUGCCUCGCUAUGUGCCCCUGAGCAAGUGCCUGGCCCUCUCUGGGCCUGUUUUCCCUUUUGUUCCGGGGGUGCUGGACACAGGGGAACCUCCAGCUCAGUGAGUAGGGUUCCCUGACUCUCCUCUCGUGAACUACGUCAGAGGCGCUCACUGACCUGGGGCUGGCUGCCCUCUGCUUCGAGCUUCCAUUCUCUGCUGACUCAGCGAUUGGCAGCCUCCAGUGGGUAACUGGGCCUGGGCAGGGAAAGAGGGAGCGGUGAGCCAGGAUGGAGAGGGAAGGCAAAGGAUGGAGAGGAGUGAGGAAAGAACGAUGGAGAGGCUGGGAGAUCUGCUGGGGUAGGCCUGUGCCAGCAGCCCUCCACGUGCUCCCUGUCACUUCCUGGGUGCUCACCUGAGCUCCUUCGCCUACAAGAGGAAAGAGCGGUUGCUCUGCUGGUCUUGGCCAACCUCGCCUGUUGCUGUGGGGCCGCAGCGGCUGCUCAUUGCUGGGCCAGCUCCAGAGGCCGCGGCCUGAGCGCCUCCCUGUGCCUGGGCUGUGGCCAGGGAGCCCUCAGACUGCUGCUGUGAACGCUCACUGCCUACCGCGCUGCCAGCCAGAGGCUUCUGCAGGCGGAGCCUGCCUUUAGGGAGGCCGUCCCUGCCUGCAGGGCUCCCAAGCGUCCUCUGUGCCCCCACCCGCCCACACACAGGUCUGGCCACCAGGGGAAUGGAAAGGUGAAUGUGGAGCAGCUGCAGAACCUGCAGACCGUGGAGGCAUAGCCAGAGCUGUUGGCUGACAGCAGAUUUGGUGAAGAUUUGAGGGCAGAACUGCCCACAGCUCUGAACUGGAAAGAGUCAUCGUCAUCCACGUGGGACGGGGCUUCCAGGCACAGCCCACUCUCCUGCACUUUGGGAUCCUGCUACAAGCUUUUUGUUGUGUGUGUGCGGAGGGGAGCCUCCCAGUGGCCACAGUGGCUCAUGCAGAAGAGGCCCUGGGGAGGGGAAGGGUGGAGGGCAGGCCAAGGGCCUAGAGUGUUUUCAUUUUUCCUGAGAACUUAGUAGGGCAUUCAGUUAUUCAUUCACAUAACAAACACUGAUGCCUGCUGCGGGCUGGGCCCUGUCCAAAAGAUGCUUGAAUGAGACACUGACCUGGCCCCCAGGGAGGGGGGCACGCGUAUAAUUCCCUCCAGAGCCGACAGACAUGACAGCUGGGCCCAGGACUCUGGCCUUCCUCCAGCCUCUAGCUGAGACCUGCACAAAUCCCUAGAGCGAAUGAUGGCUCCUCAGAGAAGGACCUUGGCCAACACCCAAGGGGACAUGUGGCCUUGCCCCCAGGGGUGAAAUUUAAAGGUGGCCAAGGAGGCAACUGGGAAAGGACUGGACCUGUGAGGAGGCAGCUGGCCAUGAGGAAGGAGAGCCUCGGGAAGCUCAGGGGAUAGCGUCUCACCCAGAUGGGAGACACAUCUGCCUGUGUGGUUUGGCUCUCGCUGUUCUGUGGGGCUUGCAGUGUCCCUGCCCGGCUUCCCUCCCUGUCUCCUCUAGGGCUCCAUCUAAUGAGAUGAUGAAUGGCGCUCAGUCGUCAGGUGGAAACAGUUGUUACUAGGCUGGCCUUCAACCCCCUCCCUCAGUGGCUGUAAAGCACUGCUAUUAAAGUGUGGUCUGGACCAGCAGCAUCCGCAUCAUCUGGGAGCUUGUUAGAAAUGCAGUCUCAGGCCCCUCCCUCAUCCCCCUAAAUCAGAACCUGCAUUUCAGCAAGACUCCCAGGUGAUUCACACGCACGUGAAAGGUUGAGAAGCAGUGCUUGAGGAGAUAGCGCAAGCUACUUUGAGACCAAGCAGAUUCCCCCCUUCCCUCCCUCGGGAAAGUGGCAUUAUGCUCAAUUCAUUUAAAUUAAAAUAUUUUGGCUAGGUCAUACUUAAAUGACUCAAAAUUUAAGAGGUACAAAAGAACAGAAGUGAAAAGCUUCCCUCCCACCCGUUCCCGGAGGCAACCUGUGUUACCAAUUCCAAGAGGCUCACCUGUCUUGCUGAGAAUCCACUGGGUUACUCACGCCUUCCCUCAGGAAAUGAAGUUUUCCUGCCGCCUGCAGUCAGACCAAGUCUCCUCUGUCAGAUGCAAGAGAAUAUGCUGGGCUAGGGAGCCGGCUGGCUCGCUUCUCCCGCUGCACUGGCUGAGGAGCCCCAGCGAAAACGCAAGGGGAGGGGUCUAGAACUCAAUCAUGGUUGUUGAAACCAGCUGGCAGCCCAGGCCUGCAGUGCUGCCCGUCACCCAGCAAGCCUGGGUGCUGUGUGAGCACCUGCCCUGACUCAAGGGAGCACCCUCUCUGGGAGGACUCUGGUUCUCCUCCGCACAGAGCGGGGAGUAAACAUCCUUCCACUGGGGCCUUUGGACAAGAGGGUUGGAGGGGCGGAAAGGUCUCUGGCGAGGCUGGCCUCUGGGGCACAGGGGCGUGGUCCCCAGAACUGGACCCCUUCUAGAUCAAGCAGCUCCUCCCCUGGGCUGCUAGGUGACCUGUCAGCAAGCCCAACCUGCUGUCUGAAGAGAAAGUGAAAACUCCAGGUGAUUUGCUGUGGUGUUUCACUUCCUCUCUAAGGCUAACCCUUGGAUCUGAUAACACAGCAUGUUACCUAUAUGUUUGGGAGUGAAAAGGGCAGGGGUCACGGCCACUGAGGAGUUGGGUCUGGUUUCUUUUAAUCUGCUUUUGGAAUCGCUUGGCAGCGGCCGUAACACUUGACAGCUGUGCUAUUUGUUUUAUACUGGAAUGGAAAUGUCUCCCUACAGCUACUCCUUCAGUCAGUAAAUAUUUAUUGAGUGCCUACUGUGUCAGGUGUUGGACUAAAUGCUGGUGACACAGUGGCUAGCAGCACAGAAACGGUCCCUGCCCAGGUGCUCAGAGUCUAGAGGUCACACAUCAAUCACAAACAGGAUGGGAUGCUUUGAGAGUCCUCAGUGAGGAGGGGCCAGGUUUCCACAAGGAAGUGACACACAAGUUGAAGUCAGAAAGGUUAGUAGCAGUCUAACUAGGUGAUGGGGGAAGCAUCCACGUCAGGGAACUGCAUGUAGAAAAGACGUGAGAAAGAGCAACUGAGGAACUGGAAUGCAGACGGUGUCACUGGAGCAGCUUCUGUGAGGCUUUCAUCAAGUUAACGUUCUUUAAUUUUAAGGGUUGCCCCUUUAAACUUACUGCCAUGGAGGACUUAACCUGUUUCUUCAAGUACAGCAAAGCUUUCCAGGUGGCCUCUCCCGUACGUCAGAGGCCCCAUGCUCAGGAAGCCAGACUGGCCAGUGGCCCCCAUCAAAGCUUCUGGAUGGUGUAACACACAGCCAGUUCCCAUGCUUCUGCACAGCAUCACCCCUGCCCGCGUUUUUGCAGAAACUUGGUGAAUGAGUAGGAGGCUCAUUAAUCUUACAGAAAUUGGCUUUGAAGUGGGAAGAAGAGAAGCAGGAACUUGAGCACUUUCCAAACCUGGGAAAGCCCCUUUCCCUCGGUGCACCUCAUCAGGAAGAUGAUCAUGCUAGCCUCUUAAGAUCUUUCCAUGCUGACAUUUCAGCAUCACAAGAAUUGUCUAUGCUUAUGUUCAAGCCCUGGCCUAAAGCCAUCUACCUAUUCCAUGCCUUUGGAGUACCAUGAUGCUGGCCAAUGGGAAAGUUUCAAAUUGGGUGCUAUUAAUGUGACAUCAUAGGGACCAGCCAUUGAAAGACCAAAGAGCGGGCUUCCCUGGUGGCGCAGUAAUUGAGAAUCCGCCUGCCAGUGCAGGGGACAUGGGUUCGCGCCCUGGUCCGGGAAGAUCCCACAUGCCCCGGAGCAACUGGGCCCGUGCGCCACAACUAUUGAGCCUGCGCUCUAGAGCCCGUGAGCCACAGCAACUGAGGCCCGCGCACCUAGAACCCGUGCUCCGCAACAGGAGAGGCCACCGCGAUGCGGCAAAGAGUGGCCCCCACUCACUGCAACUAGAGAAAAACCCGCAGGCAGCAACGAAGACCCAGCGCAGCCAAAAAUAAAAUAAUUUAUAUAUUAAAAAAAAGCGCAAAGUGCCCUUUACUCCUGAUGCAGUGGUCAUCAGGACUGAUCAGUCACAGAUGCCUUUUUUGUGCCCCCCAAGCCCAUCAGUUCCUUUCUCAGUGGCUAGCUGACCCCUGGGGAUAAAGGGGGGAAUGUGACUUCCUCCAGGUGUCUGAGUACCCCAGAUAGGGUCUGCAGUGCCCUGGGAAGUCCUUAAAUCACCCCAUUUGGAAUGGCAACUUGCACGUCUGGAAAAGGGCUCCACUUGGUUCCAACCUGCCCCCCCCCCCAAGUGGUACAACUCUCCUCAGAGCAUAUUGUCCAGUGGACCCAAGAAUGCUCUCUACAAAAGAUACCUUUCUUUCAGCUGUUUCCCCUUAGGCCAGCACACAGAAUUAAAGGGGGGAGAUAUCAAGCAUUUUCUGGGUCCUGACCAGUAUAUGUAUUUUCUGACAUUUUAAUUUGGUUAUAAAACAAUAAAAGGUGUUAACUUUAAA
Non-coding RNA from Globicephala melas (long-finned pilot whale), 9699 nucleotides. The record is from RefSeq and is a predicted model, not a curated record. Lineage: Eukaryota; Metazoa; Chordata; Mammalia; Artiodactyla; Delphinidae.